RNAcentral lists this unclassified non-coding RNA (380 nucleotides) under soil metagenome. RNAcentral describes it as "partial contains 5.8S ribosomal RNA, internal transcribed spacer 2, and large subunit ribosomal RNA". The stretch from base 1 to 120 matches the Rfam family "5.8S ribosomal RNA", at positions 35 to 154 of the family's 154-position model. The record is from RNAcentral.
GAUGAAGAACGUAGCGAAAUGCGAUAAGUAAUGUGAAUUGCAGAAUUCAGUGAAUCAUCGAAUAUUUGAACGCACCUUGCACCCUUUGGCAUUCUGAAGGGUAUGCUCGUUUGAGUGUCAUUGUACUCUCACACUCCCGAUCUUUGCAUUGGGAGCAGUGGACUUGGGUUUGCUGCUUCACCGUCGCUUACCUCAAAUAGGUUAGUGCAACUCUUGGUUGGACAUAGUACGGCGUGAUAAGUGUUCUUCGCCGGUGCCUCGCAAAGAGGGUGGCCGAUCGGGAUGUUGUGCUCCAAACCGUCUUCGGACAAUCUCUGACGACUUGACCUCAAAUCGAGUAAGACUACCCGCUGAACUUAAGCAUAUCAAUAAGCGGAGGA